UACAGAGGUCCCAAGCGUUGUUCGGAUUCACUGGGCGUAAAGGGUGCGUAGGUGGUGAGGUAAGUUUGAUGUGAAAUCUCGGGGCUUAACUCCGAAACUGCAUUCGAUACUGCGGUGCUUGAGGACUGGAGAGGAGACUGGAAUUCAUGGUGUAGCAGUGAAAUGCGUAGAUAUCGGGAGGAACACCAGUGGCGAAGGCGGCGAUCUGGGAAGAUACUGACGCUGAGGUGCGAAAGCGUGGGGAGCAAACAGG
Molecule: ribosomal RNA, 253 nt
Filed under: uncultured bacterium
Lineage: Bacteria
Description: partial 16S ribosomal RNA
Rfam family: Bacterial small subunit ribosomal RNA
Source: RNAcentral